GAGCGCGGGAAGCGAGUGGAUCCCUUCGGGGUGAAGCUCGUGGAACGAGCGGCGGACGGGUGAGUAACACGUGGGCAACCUGCCUGUAAGACCGGAAUAACCCCGGGAAACCGGGGCUAAUGCCGGGUAAUACUUUUCUUCGCAUGAAGGAAAGUUGAAAGAUGGCUUCUUGCUAUCACUUACAGAUGGGCCCGCGGCGCAUUAGCUAGUUGGUGAGGUAACGGCUCACCAAGGCGACGAUGCGUAGCCGACCUGAGAGGGUGAUCGGCCACACUGGGACUGAGACACGGCCCAGACUCCUACGGGAGGCAGCAGUAGGGAAUCUUCCGCAAUGGACGAAAGUCUGACGGAGCAACGCCGCGUGAACGAUGAAGGUCUUCGGAUCGUAAAGUUCUGUUGUUAGGGAAGAACAAGUACCGUGCGAAUAGAGCGGUACCUUGACGGUACCUAACGAGGAAGCCCCGGCUAACUACGUGCCAGCAGCCGCGGUAAUACGUAGGGGGCAAGCGUUGUCCGGAAUUAUUGGGCGUAAAGCGCGCGCAGGCGGUUCCUUAAGUCUGAUGUGAAAGCCCACGGCUCANCCGUGGAGGGUCAUUGGAAACUGGGGAACUUGAGGACAGAAGAGGAGAGUGGAAUUCCACGUGUAGCGGUGAAAUGCGUAGAUAUGUGGAGGAACACCAGUGGCGGAAGCGACUCUCUGGUCUGUUUCUGACGCUGAGGUGCGAAAGCGUGGGUAGCAAACAGGAUUAGAUACCCUGGUAGUCCACGCCGUAACNAUGAGUGCUAGGUGUUAGGGGGCUUCCACCCCUUAGUGCNNGAAGUUAACGCAUUAAGCCCUCCGCCUGGGGAGUACGGCCGCAAGGCUGAAACUCAAANGANUGGACGGGGGCCCGCACAAGCGGUGGAGCAUGUNGNUUAAA
RNAcentral lists this ribosomal RNA (920 nucleotides) under uncultured Halobacillus sp. RNAcentral's name for it is "bacterial SSU rRNA". It matches the Rfam family "Bacterial small subunit ribosomal RNA", at positions 51 to 950 of the family's 1533-position model. Lineage: Bacteria; Bacillati; Bacillota; Bacilli; Caryophanales; Bacillaceae. The record is from RNAcentral.